CAGUAGCCGCGAUAAUACGUAGGGUGCAAGCGUUAAUCGGAAUUACUGGGCGUAAAGCGUGCGCAGGCGGUUAUAUAAGACAGAUGUGAAAUCCCCGGGCUCAACCUGGGAACUGCAUUUGUGACUGUAUAGCUAGAGUACGGCAGAGGGGGAUGGAAUUCCGCGUGUAGCAGUGAAAUGCGUAGAUAUGCGGAGGAACACCGAUGGCGAAGGCAAUCCCCUGGGCCUGUACUGACGCUCAUGCACGAAAGCGUGGGGAGCAAACAGGAUUAGAUACCCGAGUAGUCCCUGUCUCUUAUAC
Molecule: ribosomal RNA, 301 nt
Filed under: uncultured bacterium
Lineage: Bacteria
Description: partial 16S ribosomal RNA
Rfam family: Bacterial small subunit ribosomal RNA
Source: RNAcentral